GACGAACGCUGGCGGCGUGCCUAAUACAUGCAAGUUGAGCGAUGAAGCUUGGUGUUUGCCCCAAUUUGAAGAGCAGCGAACGGGUGAGUAACGCGUGGGGAAUCUCCCUUUGAGCGGGGGACAACAGUUGGAAACGAAUUCUAAUACCGCAUAACAACUUUAAACAUAAGUUUUAAGUUUGAAAUAUGCAAUUGCAUCACUCUAAGGUGAUCCCGCGUUGUAUUAGCUAGUUGGGGAGGUAAAGGCUCACCAAGGCGAGGAUACAUAGCCGACCUGAGAGGGUGGUCGGCCACAUUGGGACGGAGACACGGCCCAAACGACUGCGGGAGGCAGCAGUAGGGAAUCUUCGGCAAUGGACGAAAGUCUGACCGAGCAACGCCGAGUGAGUGAAGAAGGUUUUCGGAUCGUAAAACUCUGUCGGUAGAGAAGAACGUUGGUGAGAGUGGAAAGCUCAUCAAGUGACGGUAACUACCCAGAAAGGGACGGCUAACUACGUG
RNAcentral lists this ribosomal RNA (497 nucleotides) under uncultured bacterium. RNAcentral's name for it is "partial 16S ribosomal RNA". It matches the Rfam family "Bacterial small subunit ribosomal RNA", at positions 28 to 507 of the family's 1533-position model. The record is from RNAcentral.